RNAcentral lists this ribosomal RNA (486 nucleotides) under uncultured bacterium. RNAcentral's name for it is "partial 16S ribosomal RNA". It matches the Rfam family "Bacterial small subunit ribosomal RNA", at positions 28 to 507 of the family's 1533-position model. The record is from RNAcentral.
GAUGAACGCUGGCGGCGUGCCUAAUACAUGCAAGUCGAACGCUGGAAAUCUAGCUUGCUCGCUUGAAGGAGUGGCGAACGGGUGAGUAAUACAUAAGCAACCUACCCACGAAGACUGGGAUAAUCUCUGGAAACGGGGACUAAUACCGGAUAGGUAAUCGGAAGGCAUCUUCUGAUUAUUAAAGGUUAAAAACACUGGUGGAUGGGCUUAUGGCGCAUUAGUUAGUUGGUGAGGUAACGGCCCACCAAGACGAUGAUGCGUAGCCGGCCUGAGAGGGUGAACGGCCACAUUGGGACUGAGACACGGCCCAGACUCCUACGGGAGGCAGCAGUAGGGAAUGUUCGGCAAUGGGGGAAACCCUGACCGAGCAACGCCGCGUGAGUGAGGACGGCCUUCGGGUUGUAAAGCUCUGUUGUAAGGGAAGAACGGUAGAUAGAGAAUAUCUAAAUGACGGUACCUGACCAGAAAGCCACGGCUAACUACGUG